UUCCAGACUCCUACGGGAGGCAGCAGUGGGGAAUAUUGCACAAUGGGGGGAACCCUGAUGCAGCGACGCCGCGUGGGUGAAGGAGUACUUCGGUAUGUAAAGCCCUAUCAGCAGGGAAGAAGAAAUGACGGUACCUGAGUAAGAAGCACCGGCUAAAUACGUGCCAGCAGCCGCGGUAAUACGUAUGGUGCAAGCGUUAUCCGGAUUUACUGGGUGUAAAGGGAGCGCAGGCGGCACGGCAAGCCUGAUGUGAAAGCCCGCGGCCCAACCGCGGGACUGCAUUGGGAACUACCGGGCUGGAGUGCCGGAGAGGGAGGCGGAAUUCCUAGUGUAGCGGUGAAAUGCGUAGAUAUUAGGAGGAACACCAGUGGCGAAGGCGGCCUACUGGACGGUGACUGACGCUGAGGCUCGAAAGCGUGGGGAGCAAACAGGAUUAGAUACCCUAGUACCA
Molecule: ribosomal RNA, 451 nt
Filed under: uncultured bacterium
Lineage: Bacteria
Description: bacterial SSU rRNA
Rfam family: Bacterial small subunit ribosomal RNA
Source: RNAcentral